GAUUAGGAGACGUUGAAUACAAAACACCACUUUAUAUAAUUCAGUAUAUGGUCAGCAAUGGCUGUAUAUUGUUUGUAUAAAGUCCAGGUGAAUGACUCC
This 99-nucleotide ribosomal RNA is filed under the name Acanthamoeba sp. HK-S3. RNAcentral describes it as "partial 18S rRNA". RNAcentral also lists the same sequence under 2 other names. The record is from RNAcentral. Lineage: Eukaryota; Discosea; Longamoebia; Acanthamoebidae.